Molecule: ribosomal RNA, 253 nt
Filed under: uncultured bacterium
Lineage: Bacteria
Description: partial 16S ribosomal RNA
Rfam family: Bacterial small subunit ribosomal RNA
Source: RNAcentral
UACGGAGGGUGCAAACGUUGCUCGGAAUCAUUGGGCGUAAAGCGCACGUAGGCGGUUUGUUAAGUCGGAUGUGAAAGCCCUCGGCUUAACCGAGGAAGUGCAUACGAAACUGGCGAACUUGAGUACGGGAGAGGGUCGCGGAAUUCCCGGUGUAGAGGUGAAAUUCGUAGAUAUCGGGAGGAACACCAGUGGCGAAGGCGGCGGCCUGGACCGAUACUGACGCUGAGGUGCGAAAGCGUGGGGAGCAAACAGG